RNAcentral lists this non-coding RNA (28 nucleotides) under Mus musculus (house mouse). The record is from RNAcentral. Lineage: Eukaryota; Metazoa; Chordata; Mammalia; Rodentia; Muridae.
UGUCAGACAGGAUGUUCUAGUGGGCACA